UGCAAGUCGAGGGGCAGCACAUGAAGUAGCAAUACGGAUGGUGGCGACCGGCGCACGGGUGAGUAACGCGUAUGCAACCUGCCUACAACAGGGGAAUAACCCGUUGAAAGACGGACUAAUACCCCAUAACACAGGGAUCCCGCAUGGGAAUAUUUGUUAAAGAUUUAUCGGUUGUAGAUGGGCAUGCGUUCCAUUAGCUGGUUGGUGAGGUAACGGCUCACCAAGGCAACGAUGGAUAGGGGAACUGAGAGGUUUAUCCCCCACACUGGUACUGAGACACGGACCAGACUCCUACGGGAGGCAGCAGUGAGGAAUAUUGGUCAAUGGACGCAAGUCUGAACCAGCCACGUCGCGUGAAGGAAGACGGCCCUACGGGUUGUAAACUUCUUUUGUAAGGGAAUAAAGUGCAGUACGUGUACUGUUUUGCAUGUACCUUACGAAUAAGGAUCGGCUAACUCCGUGCCAGCAGCCGCGGUAAUACGGAGGAUCCGAGCGUUAUCCGGAUUUAUUGGGUUUAAAGGGUGCGCAGGCGGGAGAUUAAGUCGGCGGUGAAAUUUUGCAGCUCAACUGUAAAAGUGCCUUCGAAACUGGUUUUCUUGAGUGUGGAUGAAGUAGGCGGAAUUUGUGGUGUAGCGGUGAAAUGCAUAGAUAUCACGAGGAACUCCGAUUGCGCAGGCAGCUUACUAAACCAUAACUGACGCUCAGGCACGAAGGCGUGGGGAUCAAACAGGAUUAGAUACCCUGGUAGUCCACGCAGUAAACGAUGAUUACUAGCUGUUU
RNAcentral lists this ribosomal RNA (780 nucleotides) under uncultured bacterium. Its description in RNAcentral is "bacterial SSU rRNA". It matches the Rfam family "Bacterial small subunit ribosomal RNA", at positions 56 to 825 of the family's 1533-position model. The record is from RNAcentral.